CCCGUCUCUACUAAAAAUACAAAAAAUUAGCCGGGCGAGGUGGCAGGAGCCUGUAGUCCCAGCUACUCGGGAGGCUGAGGCAGGAGAAUGGCAUGAAUCCGGGAGGCGGAGCUUGCAGUGAGCCGAGAUAGUGCCACUGCACUCCCACCUGGGCGAAAGAGCGAGACUCCAUCUCAAAAAAAAAAAAAAAAAAGGCAAAUUACGGU
RNAcentral lists this long non-coding RNA (206 nucleotides) under Pan troglodytes (chimpanzee). Its description in RNAcentral is "long non-coding RNA NONPTRT014519". Lineage: Eukaryota; Metazoa; Chordata; Mammalia; Primates; Hominidae. The record is from RNAcentral.